Molecule: ribosomal RNA, 305 nt
Filed under: uncultured bacterium
Lineage: Bacteria
Description: bacterial SSU rRNA
Rfam family: Bacterial small subunit ribosomal RNA
Source: RNAcentral
UCCCUACGGGGGGCAGCAGUGGGGAAUAUUGCACAAUGGGGGGAACCCUGAUGCAGCGACGCCGCGUGGGUGAAGGAGUAUUUCGGUAUGUAAAGCCCUAUCAGCAGGGAAGAACAAUGACGGUACCUGACUAAGAAGCACCGGCUAAAUACGUGCCAGCAGCCGCGGUAAUACGUAUGGUGCAAGCGUUAUCCGGAUUUACUGGGUGUAAAGGGAGCGCAGGCGGCGCGUUAAGCCUGGUGUGAAAGCCCGCGGCCCAACCCCGGCCUGCCGUUGAAACUGGCGGCCUCGAGUGGGCGAGAAGU